GUUGAAAUUAUUAGCAUGUGUAUGGUAAGUUAAAUCUUUGUGUACGAAACAAAUUGAUUUUCAAUUUUGUAGAUGUCACACCUCAUUAGAACCCAAAGGGCGAUGACUUCUACACCUAGUCUGACAGCUACACCUAGUCCGACGACUACACCUACUAUUGCCACCACUGCUCCGGCAGAGAUGGACCAUAGGCCGGCCAAUCCGGUUGACCCAGUUGGUCCUCCAGUCCCACAGGCGCAGGCAUCGUCGACUUCUUCAGUGGUGUUGCCUGUUAGCGCUCGAUUUACUCACCGGUACCCCCGCACUACGAACCAGACGUCACCAUUGGGAUCCAUAAUCGAUGCCUCGGGUACACGGCCAACGAAGAAAAACACCUGGGGACCUUGUCGGCAAUUGAAGACGGCAAAGGUCACCUGGGUGACCAACGGUCGUAUCCCAAUCGAAUACGAUGAGCGACAUCGAGCAACACCAAUAGCAGAGUAACAUAGUGCAUUGGCCCACAACAUUGUGCAUGUCGUGCGGACCUUUGCCCUAUGCGGUGGAAGUCUUGGAAGGCGAUGCCGGAGGAGACGAAGAACACGGUGCGCAACCAAUUGUCCAUAAGUAGCAUCGCCUUUUUAAUACUUUUCAUGUAAAAGUUAUAUAUUUAUAUUUAUUACUGUCUUUUAUUACUAAUACUUUCAAAAUAUUUGUUAUAUUGCAAACAAACUACAAUUUGGAGGACAUGGACGAGGACAUGUUCGUGUACCUCAAUCGACUCUUCUCUGAACGCUACAAGCAAUGGAAAAGUGACAUGUUCCAAUGUUUCCAUCAGUUUUGAUGAUCCAUAGGUUGCUCUCGAUGAGGGUUAUCCGAAGGAGUUAGAGGAUCGACAACAUAGUUAGGUUUGGUUUUGCGGUCAUUUUCAAGAGCCGGAAGAAGACGAAGGCGAACAAUAUCAAUCAGGAGAAGAAGACUUUUCUCCACCAUUUGGGUUCAAGGCCUUUCUCCUAUAGGAUGGAGGCGUGAUGGAAGGAGGGUUCAAAAUUUUCAGAGAUCGACGUCUUUGCUGACGUUUAUGUUCGGCCUGGGGAUGAGUUGAUCGAGUCCUUUCAUGUAACUAUGGUGGAGAAAAGUCAGUCGGUGCUUCAGGAGUCCGUCUCCUAGCUUCCCUCAGAUCGCCGAUCGAGUCUGUGGAUCCCCUUGAGGAUGCAGGGUUUCACAUCGUGACAGAGACCUUGGACCAAACUUUUGGUCAGAGGCCAGAGACUUAUUGUCAUGGGAUGGGAAAUACCAGGCAACGAGAGAUUAAAGCAUCAUCAUCCUCGCAGUCAAAGGCCCAAGUUACGGCUUUGACGCAGAAAGUCGCUGGCUUGAAGAGUGAGCUGGCAUCGUACAAGUCUCAAAUGUCGAUGCUUGUACAAGCCCUCAGUUCCUCUAGAAUACAUCUCCCCGGUUUUUCUGCACCAUCAUAGCCCUUCCACACCAAGCAAGCUCAGCAAUCAGGCCCAUUGACCUCCAACCCCAUCCCCAACCCGCAGCAAGAUUACCAAGCACCUUCGAACAACAUGCCUAUAGAUUUUUCCGCUUUUUUUCAUAGUUUUGUUCCUGCUUUCUUUUAAAACUUUAUA
Malus domestica (apple) is the source of this 1610-nucleotide long non-coding RNA. RefSeq lists it as uncharacterized. The record is from RefSeq and is a predicted model, not a curated record. NCBI's taxonomy places the organism in Eukaryota, Viridiplantae, Streptophyta, Magnoliopsida, Rosales, Rosaceae.